Molecule: ribosomal RNA, 520 nt
Filed under: uncultured Glomus
Lineage: Eukaryota; Fungi; Glomeromycota; Glomeromycetes; Glomerales; Glomeraceae
Description: SSU rRNA
Rfam family: Eukaryotic small subunit ribosomal RNA
Source: RNAcentral
AGCAGCCGCGGUAAUUCCAGCUCCAAUAGCGUAUAUUAAAGUUGUUGCAGUUAAAAAGCUCGUAGUUGAAUUUCGGGGUUAGUAGGUUGGUCAUGCCUCUGGUAUGUACUGGUCUCACUGAUUCCUCCUUCUUUAUGAACCGUAAUGCCAUUAAUUUGGUGUUGCGGGGAAUUUGGACUGUUACUUUGAAAAAAUUAGAGUGUUUAAAGCAAGCUAACGCUUGAAUACAUUAGCAUGGAAUAAUGAAAUAGGACGUUCGAUCUUAUUUUGUUGGUUUCUAGGAUUGACGUAAUGAUUAAUAGGGAUAGUUGGGGGCAUUAGUAUUCAAUUGUCAGAGGUGAAAUUCUUGGAUUUAUUGAAGACUAACUACUGCGAAAGCAUUUGCCAAGGAUGUUUUCAUUAAUCAAGAACGAAAGUUAGGGGAUCGAAGACGAUCAGAUACCGUCGUAGUCUUAACCAUAAACUAUGCCGACUAGGGAUCGGAUGAUGUUAAUUUUUAAUGACUCAUUCGGCGCCUUAC